AGACGUCCUCGGACGGGCGGCGUCGGACUGAAAAUCGGAAGGUCGGCGGUUCGACCCCGCCCCUGGCCACCA
This 72-nucleotide transfer RNA is filed under the name Nocardioidaceae bacterium. RNAcentral describes it as "tRNA-Phe". Lineage: Bacteria; Bacillati; Actinomycetota; Actinomycetes; Propionibacteriales; Nocardioidaceae. The record is from RNAcentral.